CUUGAAGUACUAUUUCAAACCAAACACAUGCGUUCUCAAUUCCUAACGCCUCAAAUUUCAAUUACAGUGGCACUCAAGGCAGAGAAAAAAAUCAACAAAAGGAGAAGAAAUUUACUAGUGAAGAUGAUCUAAAGGUAGAAAGCUUUCUUUUCCCACUUUUUCAUCUACAUAUGUGUUUAGGACAAGGAGUGGUUUGUAUAGCAGGUCGUGGUUACAAAAGAACUUGGAGCAAUGAAACAAGUAAAAUUAUUGAUUUAUGCUGGUAAUAAUCUUCACCAAUUCAGUACAUUUCUUAUGGUUUCAUUUCUCUAAUCCCUUUUUUUCAUUACUUAUCUUCUUCUUUUGUUUGGUCAAGGUUAUAAGUAGGAGAUUGAGUAUCUAAAUGUAAAAUUGUAAAUAAUGUUUUAUCAUUGAAGUAUUCAUCGUUUUAUGUCUUUUUUUUUGGUAACUGUUCCUUAUCUUUUCACUUUCUUUUUUUCUGAUGUCUUUUUUUUGUUGGUAACUGUUCCUUCUCUUUUCACUUUCUUCUUUUCUGAUGUCUUCUAUUUCUUCUUCUUUGUUUUUUUUAUUAUAGAGUAACAUAAUCGAAGAAACUAUUCCAAUUUUAUAUUCAUGAAACAUUUUGAGACAAAGUAUGUUGCUUCAAAUGUUUUCUUAUAGGCAUUUUGCUAUUUUUUGUGCCGAGUUUUCGGAUACACAUGGAGCAAACAUGCAAUUAAAAGUUAAUUUUAUGUUAUUUUAUUAUGUUUUCUUUUAGUUUUUGUAAGUUAAAUUGACUUCGUCUCUAUUCAAUAUCAAAGUGAAAAGCUAGCUUUCUACUUUUAUAGUGAUUCGAUCGUGUUGACUUGAUUUUGUAGGGAUAAAAUUAAUCCUAUUAUUUAUGCCUUUUUUUAAAUGCAUUUUUUUGGGUUCUUUAUCGUCUGAUAGAUCUUGAUUAAUGUAUAUAAUUAAUCUCCUAGCAUGUUUAAAAGGUGAAUUGAUAUUUUCUACUAAAAAAUAAAGUGUGGGUUAAAGAUUAUUAUCUUGUUAUCAUAAAAUUUUGUAAUAUGUACAUAAUUAUCCAACUCUACUUUCUUUAUCCUGUUGUGCUAUAGUUUAUUAUCUAAAUUAAUUGACAUCUAUGUAUUAUGAGAAUCCAAUUUGAGUUUUUAAUUUCUUUAACAUUUCAUAUAUGCUAUUAUACUGCUUAACGAUAAAAAUGAUGCAUAAUUCAUUUUAGCAAUUUUUAUUUAUUUAUAUAGCUUAACUAAUAAUUGAUAUUUCUUUGCUUGAUUAACUUAUGCUUUCUUGAUUUUCCUUGAAAAACUAUAUUCAUGUAUGAAAUAUUUCCUUACUGAUUCUGAGAGUCCUUUAUUCUGAUACCUUUUUUAAUUAAUCAUGAUUUAUCUUAUACCACCAAAGUGUGUUUCUACAUUCCUUCACAAUAACGAUUAAUUGAGUAGUAAUUCCUUAGUAUAAAGAAAUAAUAAAUAAUUAAAAAAAUCUAAGAAAAAUAGUUUUUACUGUAUGUGUGAGUACGUCACAAUAAUAUAUGUUAAAUCACAAUCUUAAAAGGUACAAUAAUAUAUUUUGUAAAAAUAUUCAAUACUAAGGCUUUAAGUUUAACUAAAUAUGGGGUACAUUGGUUACUCAAUAAAUUCUUUUUUUUUAAGAUUAUGAAUUUAUGAUUUUACUUUUCUCUUUAAAAUUCAUAUUCAAGAGAAUUUCGUGCAUUAUAAAAUACUUUUAAACCUUAGGACAAAGUUAAUAAAAUUCUAAUAUAACUUUGAAGUGAAAUAACAAUUUUUUUUUAUAAAAACCCUAAUAUAAAAUUGAAGUGGAAUAACAAAAGAAAAAUUUGAGUUUAAGUAAAAAGAUAAAAUUUUGUAAUAGAUGUGAAAGUGUUUAGCUUCAAUUUUAAAUAACUACUUCUAACAAAUUGGAUUAGGCUGAAGUCUUCUUCCUAGCUAUAUUUGAUUGUAUCAUUUCUAUUAUGCAUAAAAAACUUAUCAAUUUUAAUUCAUCCGAGGACAUGCUAUAAUCUUUAAAUUCAAAUCCCUAUUUAUAAUAUGUAUCUUCGCUAUAGCUAAAUAAUUAUGUCAUGGCUUAAUCAGAUGCUAAUUACACAAGUGUGAAGAUAUUGUCAUUUUAUAUCAUGUCUGGUAUGAGUCCUGAAGAUAGUGUUUGGGUGCCAAUUAAAGUGAUUGGUCCAUUAAAUACUACAAGACUUUACACUAAAUAUUUUAUAAAACCAUCAAACUUGGCUUUCUACUAAUUAUUCUCUUUAUUGUUUUGAUAAGAGUCAGGAACAAGUAGUUUAAAAUAACGAAAUGAAUACUUUCAAGAUCUUUAGAAACACAGUAAAGAUUGUCUUGGCGGGUAAUAAGAUAGAGAAUUCAUAGAACUUACUUUCAGUCAGAAGAUGAUAUAAGCAACAAAGAAUUGGCUUAGACAACUUGAGUUUGGGAUCAUUAAUACUUUUAUUUUAUUUUGAUUAACAUCAAAUAUUUCUAAUUUGACUUAUCGUUCUCUAUUUUUAUACUAUGCAGCCUGAUACUCAUCUAGACCAGAAAGAAAAGUACAUUUCGUAUACUGAAUUUGUUAACCAAGAGCUUAUUCUGUUUUCAGUGGCUGAUAUUCAAAGGAUUAUUCCAUCAAUGCUUGACGGUUGAAAACUGAAUCGAAGGAAGAUUUUGUCUUGUGCCUUUAAGAACUUUGUUAAUUUGUACAAACAUAUUGUGUAGUAAAAAUGGCCUUUUACAAAUGGUACUAAUAAAUUUGUGAGAACCAGAAUAUGGCCAAUCAUCCAAUAUUGCAUUUUAUUAUGAAUGAUUUCCUCCCUACCUAUUUUCUAAUGGAUACAUAUGUUUUCUUAUUACUUCAAUGUAUGAAUAUCCAGUGGAUUUAUAUGUUUAUACAAUAAUAGCAUUUGAAA
This 2914-nucleotide long non-coding RNA is filed under the name Nicotiana tabacum (common tobacco). Its description in RNAcentral is "long non-coding RNA (NTAB_LNC003262)". Lineage: Eukaryota; Viridiplantae; Streptophyta; Magnoliopsida; Solanales; Solanaceae. The record is from RNAcentral.